RNAcentral lists this ribosomal RNA (253 nucleotides) under uncultured bacterium. Its description in RNAcentral is "partial 16S ribosomal RNA". It matches the Rfam family "Bacterial small subunit ribosomal RNA", at positions 524 to 776 of the family's 1533-position model. The record is from RNAcentral.
UACGAAGGGGGCUAGCGUUGACCGGAUUUACUGGGCGUAAAGCGCACGUAGGCGGGUCGUUAAGUCGGGGGUGAAAUCCCGGAGCUCAACUCCGGAACUGCCUUCGAUACUGGCGAUCUCGAGUCCGGGAGAGGUGAGUGGAAUUCCGAGUGUAGAGGUGAAAUUCGUAGAUAUUCGGAAGAACACCAGUGGAGAAGGCGGUUCACUGGCCCGGUACUGACGCUGAGGUGCGAAAGCGUGGGGAGCAAACAGG